Non-coding RNA from Pseudopodoces humilis (Tibetan ground-tit), 1885 nucleotides. The record is from RefSeq and is a predicted model, not a curated record. Lineage: Eukaryota; Metazoa; Chordata; Aves; Passeriformes; Paridae.
UCGGGAUCCCCGCGCACCUCACUCUCUCCUUCUCGUCCGGGCCGCACUGGGGCGCGGCAGCUCUGCCGCAGUCGCACACGGUGCGCAGCCUGGAGCGGGCCCUGGAGGAGGCGGGCAGCUCGGGCAUCCUGUGCCUGAGCGGGAGGAAGCUGCGCGACUUCCCCGGCAGCGGCUGCGACCUGAGCGACACCACGCAAGCAGGGCACCUCAUGCAUGGCUACCGAGAAUCUCCUACAUUGGUGAGUGGAAAGAAACCUUUGGUGUGUUGCAGUCGCAUGCAGCCUGGUGGGCUGAGAGAAAGUUCCUGUCAGUCUUAUUGCAGCAGCAGAAGCUGGGGGAUCCCUGGCUGUUUUCUCCUUUUCUCUUGAAGAACUUUUGAACAGCUGCAAGAAUGAUUUUGUAGCCAGAAGACUGCGUGCUGGUUUUGGCCAUUUUAGGGUAUCGAAUUCACAAGCGUAAGUGGCAAUGUCUAUUUUAGCCCACUGUUAGUUUAAACACCCCAGAAUGCUAUUUCUCCUUGGUGCAAAUGGUCGUAUAGCUGAGGAUAAGUAAGGCCAUAAAUGUGAUACAACUUCCUGUCCCUCAGUCUACUGUCUGUCCACAAAGCACAGAAGCUGUGUCUCCUCUAGCUCUGUCUUUCUCCAAAGAGGAGGCCAAAGAGGAGAAAGACAAGAAGGCUGGAGAGCAGGGACAAAGUGAAGUUCCUUCUGUUCUCAGAGACAAUGGUGAGCUUCCUACAGUUCUUGAAGAUGGUGGUGAAUUUCCCCCCAUUCUGGGAGGUGACAGCAAAGCUCCAGCAGUGUGGAUCGAGGGUGGCGAAUGUCUUGUGGUGUGGGAUGAGGAGUGGGAACAUCCUGCAGUGCAGGAAAAAGGACAGCAAGGAUCUUGCAGUGUGGGAGGACGAGGUCAAACAUCCAGUGGUGUGUAAAGAGGACAGCAAGCAUCAAGCAAUGUGGGAAGAGGAGGGACGACAUCUCUCUGCACGUGAAGAGCACCGAGUGAUGAACAUCCCAGUGUUCGGGAAGAGGAUGGUGAAGCACCACCAUUUUGGGAAGAGGACAGCGAACCUUCCUCUGUUGAGGCAUCAUGGGCUAAGCAUUCUGACAGCAGCAUAGCCCUGCAGCCAGAGGGGAGAGGAGAGAAGUGCCUGAUGCAGCUGAGGAGCACUGUGAGCAUGGGGGAGCCUGCCAAGAAACACACUGAAGCAGAGCCAGUUGGCCAAGGCCCUGGAUUUCCUUCAUUUGAACCAGGUGAUCCAAAGAAAACUGAAAAGCUCCAGCAUCCUUCUGGGAAUGGAUGGCCCUGUCAAGAGCUGUAACCACUGUCAAGGCUCAUGCUCUGAUGGGGCAGAACAGGACCCGGCGUUGUUGCAGGAAUUGCUCAGCACAGCCUGGAGCCAGGUGAGGAGCGGCGCUGCUCUGCCUGGGAGCUGCUGCAGCUGACCGGGGCAAUGUGAGGGGAGAGCUGAGCCCUGGCAGAGCCCGGAGCAGACUCAGCAUCUGCAAAGCCAAGCUGGAAGGAAGCUUCCAGGAAGCUUGGCAGGGAGAUGUGAUCCCAGCAUACACAUUUGGUGGCCACCUGCGAGCCAAGAGAAGCAUCGGUCUGAGGUCGCUGCCUGCCCUGCCACUCUCCGGGGGUCCCCGAGCAGGUGCUGCCGAAGCCGCCGCUCCCCAGUAGGGAUCCUACUCUGUACUGCUCCUGCAGGGCUUCCUUCGGCUUCCCUGCAGCAUUCGGCCUGGCUCCAGGGACGGCCCCUGACCGCCCAGGACCUGGCUUCUCUAUCGGGUGCCGGCGGCCGAGCGGCGGAGCUCGGGCCGGGGACCUCGGGAGGCGCGGGAGUGUUCGCGGCUCGUGUCCCCUAUGGAGCGACGGCGAGCCAGGCGAA